RNAcentral lists this long non-coding RNA (299 nucleotides) under Ursus maritimus (polar bear). Its description in RNAcentral is "lncRNA (ENSUMAG00000003214.1)". Lineage: Eukaryota; Metazoa; Chordata; Mammalia; Carnivora; Ursidae. The record is from RNAcentral.
CCGGGGUCCCUCCUAGGGCCUUGUUUCCCGGGAUGCCCUACUCUCCAGCUGCACUGGGCAGAACCGUUGUAUCCCCUGGUGACAGAUGAAGAAACUGAGUCUCAGAGUGGCUCAGGGCCAGGGACCAGAAGCAACCCCCAGUCCAUGAAGGAGCCCCAGGAAGUGUGGGCAUUGAGGAAGGCAAGCUGAACUGGAGAGGAAAGAGCAGGGAGCCACGCGGGAGAACGCGGGUAGCCAGGCGGAGACGAGACCAGGGAUCAGCUGCCACAGACACAGGCCUUCCCAGCUCUGGACCUGCC